Molecule: small nuclear RNA, 249 nt
Filed under: Pogona vitticeps (central bearded dragon)
Lineage: Eukaryota; Metazoa; Chordata; Lepidosauria; Squamata; Agamidae
Description: 7SK RNA (ENSPVIG00000004144.1)
Rfam family: 7SK RNA
About the family: 7SK was discovered as an abundant small nuclear RNA in the mid-70s but a possible function has only recently been suggested. Two independent studies have found that 7SK RNA binds the CDK9/cyclin T complex (known as elongation factor P-TEFb).
Source: Rfam by way of RNAcentral
GGGUAAUCUGGCUGUGACACUUGUCACCCCAUUGAUCCCCAGGGUUGAUUCGGCUGAUCUGGCUGGCUAGGCGGGCGUCCCCUUCCUCCCUCACCACUCCAUGUGCAGUGGAAGAGGAUGAUCAUCCCAGAUAAAAGGAGUGUACCGUUCUUUGGUCAAGGCUAUAUGAUUAAGCUUAGAAAGAAUGAGAAGAUGAUGGUCACAAAAUGAGCUUUGCAAAUGAACUCAGAUUCUGCCUGGGUCUUCUUU